UAACACAUGCAAGUCGAGGGGCAGCAUAAAAGUAGCAAUACUUGGUGGCGACCGGCGCACAGGUGAGUAACGCGUAUGCAACCUACCUAUCAGAGGGGAAUAACCCGGCGAAAGUCGGACUAAUACCGCAUAAAACAGGGGCACCGCAUGGUGAUAUUUGUUAAAGAAAUUCGCUGAUAGAUGGGCAUGCGUUCCAUUAGGUAGUUGGUGAGGUAACGGCUCACCAAGCCGACGAUGGAUAGGGGAACUGAGAGGUUGGUCCCCCACACUGGUACUGAGACACGGACCAGACUCCUACGGGAGGCAGCAGUGAGGAAUAUUGGUCAAUGGGCGGGAGCCUGAACCAGCCAAGUCGCGUGAAGGAAAAGAAGGAUCUAUGGUUCGUAAACUUCUUUUGCAGGGGAAUAAAGUGCAGGACGUGUCCUGUUUUGUAUGUACCCUGAGAAUAAGGAUCGGCUAACUCCGUGCCAGCAGCAGC
RNAcentral lists this ribosomal RNA (478 nucleotides) under uncultured bacterium. RNAcentral describes it as "bacterial SSU rRNA". It matches the Rfam family "Bacterial small subunit ribosomal RNA", at positions 49 to 518 of the family's 1533-position model. The record is from RNAcentral.